Salvia splendens (bonfire salvia) is the source of this 714-nucleotide long non-coding RNA. RefSeq lists it as uncharacterized. The record is from RefSeq and is a predicted model, not a curated record. Lineage: Eukaryota; Viridiplantae; Streptophyta; Magnoliopsida; Lamiales; Lamiaceae. The transcript is spliced from 4 exons.
AAUCAAAAUAAGUAAACUAACGUCCAAUUUGAAAGAAAGAAAAGAAGAAAAAAAUCGCCCCACUCCCUUUCCCACGUUGAAACCGUCCAUCUCUCCCAUGAUCUCUCCCAAUUCCCUAAAUCUCUCCAUAUCAAUUAACCACCCCCCUCUCUACAAUACUCGUUCACAAUCAUUCUUCCCUAUUUUCAUUCCUCUGCAGCGACUCACAAGAACAAAGCAACUCUCACUCAAUAGAGUACAAGCCGCAACUCAAAGAUCGAAUUCGAACUCAAGCCGCUUGCAAGGACAAAACUACCUUUCUCUCCAUUCCAAUCUAGCCGAGUUCAAGAAACUGAAAAAUUAAGAGAAGAGAAAACGGAAGCAGAAAUCUCUUUUGUUCGAGCCUUUUCGUUCCCAAUCUGCAAAGGUGAAUCAUCGCAAGGGAAUCGUGAUUGCAAAGGAAAGAACGUAAUUUCAAAUUAAGCACUCGAGGUUGAGCGGCGACGAGCAGUUGGUGGUGUUGAGCAGUUUAAAAUUGAAGCAUGGUUGGUUAGUUGUGAACUACGAGUGUCGUUGUGUCUCCACACAUGACGUCACUCUUUCUCUUGAACGCUUCCGCUGAGACAUUGUCUUUACUCACCAUUCUUUUAGCGUUGAACCUAAUUAUUUGGAUAACGUCGACCUCUUGGCCCUUUGUUGUUAAAUAUUAAUUAUUGGUCAAACUCUUUAUUAAAA